GAUGAACGCUGGCGGCGUGCCUAAUACAUGCAAGUCGAGCGAACGGACGAGAAGCUUGCUUCUCUGAUGUUAGCGGCGGACGGGUGAGUAACACGUGGAUAACCUACCUAUAAGACUGGGAUAACUUCGGGAAACCGGAGCUAAUACCGGAUAAUAUUUUGAACCGCAUGGUUCAAAAGUGAAAGACGGUCUUGCUGUCACUUAUAGAUGGAUCCGCGCUGCAUUAGCUAGUUGGUAAUGUAACGGCUUAUCAAGGCAACGAUGCAUAGCCGACCUGAGAGAGUGAUAGGCCACACUGGAACUGAGACAGGGUCCAGACUCCUACGGGACGCAGCAGUAGGGAAUCGUACGCAAUGGGCGAAGGCAUGACGGAGCAACGCCGCGUGAGUGAUGAAGGUCUUCGGAUCGUAAAACUCUGUUAUUAGGGAAGAACAUAUGUGUAAGUAACUGUGCACAGAUUGACGGUACCUAAUCAGAAAGCAACGGCUAACUACGUG
RNAcentral lists this ribosomal RNA (497 nucleotides) under uncultured bacterium. Its description in RNAcentral is "partial 16S ribosomal RNA". It matches the Rfam family "Bacterial small subunit ribosomal RNA", at positions 28 to 507 of the family's 1533-position model. The record is from RNAcentral.